GAUGAACGCUGGCGGCGUGCCUAAUACAUGCAAGUCGAACGAAACUUCUUUAUCACCGAGUGCUUGCACUCACCGAUAAAGAGUUGAGUGGCGAACGGGUGAGUAACACGUGGGCAACCUGCCCAAAAGAGGGGGAUAACACUUGGAAACAGGUGCUAAUACCGCAUAACCAUAGUUACCGCAUGGUAACUAUGUAAAAGGUGGCUAUACUACCGCUUUUGGAUGGGCCCGCGGCGCAUUAGCUAGUUGGUAGGGUAAAGGCUUACCAAGGCAAUGAUGCGUAGCCGAAUUGAGAGGUUGAUCGGCCACAUUGGGACUGAGACACGGCCCAAACUCCUACGGGAGGCAGCAGUAGGGAAUCUUCCACAAUGGGCGAAAGCCUGAUAGAGCAACGCCGCGUGGGUGAAGAAGGUCUUCGGAUCGUAAAACCCUGUUGUUAGAGAAGAAAGUGCGUGAGAGUAACUGUUCACGUUUCGACGGUAUCUAACCAGAAAGCCACGGCUAACUACGUG
RNAcentral lists this ribosomal RNA (512 nucleotides) under uncultured bacterium. Its description in RNAcentral is "partial 16S ribosomal RNA". It matches the Rfam family "Bacterial small subunit ribosomal RNA", at positions 28 to 507 of the family's 1533-position model. The record is from RNAcentral.